CAGCCCAUCUCUCAGCUGACGGAGGUUAAAGGCUAUGUAGAUUCCUGGGACAGCUGUUUGGUAAUUGUCACAGCCAGUUACUUGGUAACCCACGAACAGGGAUCUCAGGAGGGAUGGGAUUUAAAAUCAUUGCUGAAUAACUUUCCUGGGAUCUCUUGCAGCACCGAGGAUGGGUUAAAUGAAGUGGCACUAUAUUCCACUCCUAUUUAAAUAGAUAAAUCCACAACAGACUUCCCUCAGCAUGCUGCAGUGUGUGUAGUUAAUUUGCUGGAUAUAACAGAGUGAUUUACACAACAACAGGCUGAGGAAAGCAGAAAGAGAGGCAGGCCCUCCUGCAAAAAGGACUUUGUGUUGCUAUUUCCUUCUCUUUCAUCUUUUACUUACUUAUUUAUUUAUUUAUUGAGAAAGCGCAACCUACAGGUUUGAGCUGAGCCAGAUGCUUUUGUGACUAACGCUUGCUAAGCAAACCACCGAAGACCUCGCUGUCCUUGGCAGCAUUAUAGGGGUCAAACUUCCCCACGUACGUGGUCCUCUAGCAACUUUCCCACGUGUGUGUCGCAAGCAGGAGCUCUCAAACAUCAUCCCGGCUUCAGUGCCAGAUCUUCGUGUAAUUUCUUCACCUACAAGACAGAGAUACUAGCAAGCAUUAUUUUUCUGCAUCACAACCUUAUUUAUGAAGGCCUUUGAGGAUGAAAGUCUGCUCUUGCCCAACAGACACAUAAUUUGCUGAUGUGUCAUUAGCAGAGAUACAGCUGUGCGCAGUAUGGCAAGGCGCUGGCGACGGGUGAGAGGAGACAGGGGUCGCUUGGCCCAGGCUGUCAGCAGCUCGUCCUAACUCCGGAUGCGGCAUCCACGUGUGACCCCGAGGGGAGCGCUGCGGGCUGAUGGCUUCCCAAGGUCGUGGGGAAAAGGGCAGCUGCUCUGCAGCUCUGCUCGGGGAAGGGUUAACGGCCCUGACUGCUUCAGCUCGAUCUUACACAACCGCAGCUUGCAGCCCGCAUGGCUGUCCGUUCUUCUCGUUUGUAUUUUCUACAAAGAUAUCAUUAUUAGUUGCUGCAGGACAAAUCCUUUGACCUCUUGUCGUUGUUAUUUAUUAAUUCUCAUGUCCAUCUGCAAGGACCAAUGCUUGUCUUCCUCCGAGAGAGAGAUGCAAAAAGAAGCUGGCUGAAUUGGCUGCACUAAAUUCACCUUGCCACUACGAAGCAGGCCAGAAAAGGGCUAUGGUUCGGGGUCGGUUCCCAACAAAGCUUCAGCAUGGGCCUCGGGGUAGUUGCUGACCACCAUCUACAUCCAUCUCUCGGUAAGCAUAAGUGACUCCAGGAGCACCAGCCGGGGGAGCAGGUGGCUCCCCUUUCCAGCAAGGUCUCAGCAGUGUGGCGAAAAUCCCAUCACACUUCUUGGAACCGGCCGCAUCCCCAGAGAGCAGCGGGCACAGCCUCUCCCGUAGGAUCUGCAGGAGGACAGCGAGUUGGUCCAUGCUCUGGAAUGGCACUGUCUGCUUUUCCACUUUCUUUCUGGAAACAACUGGCAAUGUCAAGAUGAUUUUCCAGACACACUGGAAGGAUGGCUGCUGGACUAUCGCGUGACUUAUGUUCCUUUUGAGGGGAAGAAAUCUAUGGUGUUCCCUUCUUCAUAACCCGUAAGUGUAUGCAAAGCAUUUCUGUGGUAUGUGCGUACAGCAGCUGCAGGCUUCUGACCAAAACGCCCCAGUGCUGUGACACAAACACACCUUGGUUAAGGAGUAUCAUAGGCUAGAGGAAAAAUAUUUUAACAAAGAUAGGCCAGUUACAUUAUGAACACCCCAACCUUCAGGCUGGGUGGCUCCAUGGAAACACGGGAUAAUGCCCUACUGAAGGCAAGUCCUAAAAGCUUGUGAAACGGGCAAUUUCUGAAAGCAUUUUCUGUCCUCAUAUGCUGUAAGAAACUGAUGAAACACACUUGGUAAUACUCAGAUUGAGACAAGUAUUUCUUUAGUGUCUUUUCUCUGUGUUAUAACCACUGAACUACGGGUGUUCUGCUACCCUGGCUAGCCAAAUAAUCCUUCUUUUUUAUUAAUAAAGGUUAAAGGAGUGAACUUAAACCUUGGCUUGAAUGACUCAUGUACAGACACGUACCAAACCCUUUUGUUGGAGCCACUGUCACAAAGAUAACACAGCAGUUCUCAUUUGAAUUACUACAAAAACUACCACUGAAUACAGAGGUCUGGCCCAUGUGUAUACAAAACACAGUGGAAAAGAUUACGGUUUCCAGAGGGACAACAGGCCCAUUUUGCACUGGUCCUACACUUCUGGUGAAGCAAGAAGCUCAUUUGCCAAAGGCAAAUUUUCCUAAGCAAAAAGAAUACGAAUCCAAAAUUCACGCUUCCCACAGUCUUACUCUUUUUCUUUUAUUUCAAGUUACAUCUUCUUAUAUAUCAAAUUGAUUGAAACAGUUGCACCACACAUUUGUACCAAAACCCAUUUCAGUAGGAGGGCAAUUGCCCCAGCCCAGCCUGCCUAUCCUCAAUUCCUCCAGCCCCAGAAACACAAAAGCUCUAAAGGUGUGUUUUGUUUAAGGCACUUGAUUUGCAUGCAAACACCAGGCAGAAAAUAUCAGCUGUUUUCAAU
Molecule: long non-coding RNA, 2606 nt
Organism: Anas platyrhynchos (mallard)
Lineage: Eukaryota; Metazoa; Chordata; Aves; Anseriformes; Anatidae
Source: RefSeq, a predicted model, not a curated record